RNAcentral lists this ribosomal RNA (210 nucleotides) under uncultured bacterium. Its description in RNAcentral is "partial 16S ribosomal RNA". It matches the Rfam family "Bacterial small subunit ribosomal RNA", at positions 305 to 523 of the family's 1533-position model. The record is from RNAcentral.
UGGCAGCAGCCGCGGUAAUAGCCCUACGGGAGGCAGCAGUGAGGAAUAUUGGUCAAUGGGCGCAAGCCUGAACCAGCCAUGUCGCGUGCAGGACGACUGCCCUAUGGGUUGUAAACUGCUUUUAUAGUAGAAGAAACACAUCUACGUGUAGAUGUCUGCCAGUAUACUAUGAAUAAGCAUCGGCUAACUCCGUGCCAGCAGCCGCGGUAA